GACGAACGCUGGCGGCGUGCUUAACACAUGCAAGUCGAACGGAAAGGCCCUUCGGGGUCCUCGAGUGGCGAACGGGUGAGUAACACGUGGGUGAUCUGCCCUGCACUUUGGGAUAAGCCUGGGAAACUGGGUCUAAUACCGAAUAGGACCACGCGCUUCAUGGUGUGUGGUGGAAAGCUUUUGCGGUGUGGGAUGGGCCCGCGGCCUAUCAGCUUGUUGGUGGGGUAAUGGCCUACCAAGGCGACGACGGGUAGCCGGCCUGAGAGGGUGACCGGCCACACUGGGACUGAGAUACGGCCCAUACUCCUACGGGAGGCAGCAGUGGGGAAUAUUGCACAAUGGGCGCAAGCCUGAUGCAGCGACGCCGCGUGAGGGAUGACGGCCUUCGGGUUGUAAACCUCUUUCAAUAGGGACGAAGCGCAAGUGACGGUACCUAUAGAAGAAGCACCGGCCAACUACGUG
This 462-nucleotide ribosomal RNA is filed under the name uncultured bacterium. RNAcentral's name for it is "partial 16S ribosomal RNA". It matches the Rfam family "Bacterial small subunit ribosomal RNA", at positions 28 to 507 of the family's 1533-position model. The record is from RNAcentral.